GGAGGGAGCAGGUGGAGGUCAGUGGAGCUGCUCUGCUGCUGAGGCCAGGGGACAGCAAGGACUUCGGGGGAAAAAAUACACUGGAUCUGACUGUUGCAGCUGGAAAAAACCUUAAGACUCAGAACAAAACCCAAAACGAGUGUAACCCUGCACUUUCUGCAACAAAAUAAGGUACCAUACACGCAUAAUGAAAUGGACAGCAAAUGAGUAGACAGAAAAAACAACAAACCCCACUUUCAUUCUCCUUGCCAAGCAACGCAAGCACCUUAUUUUAUUUCCUAACAACUGUGAUGACAGCAGCCCACGAGUAACCAGACACCUGGUGGAGCAGAAGUUCUGUGUUGCACUCCGAGGGGAACAAAUGGCCCAGGACAGCUGGGGCACGGCCAGCAGGAGUCCCAGGGCAGAGCUCUCACCUCAGGCACUGUGACUGCCCAGGAAUGAAAGCAGCCUCCCCGGGGGAAGUGAAAGAGGAGUGUGCCACCAGCCCUCGAAGGAAAGGAGCUGUGGGGGCAGCCACCUGGAGUGGAUGAGCCUCACAGCUCAGGAUUUGCAAACAGAACUCAACACUUUAAUAAGGGGCUGCAGUCAGGCAGAAAUGCAGUGAGGUGUACAGUGAGUUUCACAUGAGGCACUGCAGGGUUUGGAUGGAUUGCACAGGAGCUCCAGUCCCCUGCAGCAGUGCCAGAGAGGUUUAAAAUCAGUUUUACAUGAGGCACUGCAGGGUUUGCAUGGAUUGCACAGGAGCUCCAGUCCCCUGCAGCAGUGCCAGAGAGGUUUAAAAUCAGUUUUACAUGAGGCACUGCAGGGUUUGCAUGGAUUGCACAGGAGCUCCAGUCCCCUGCAGCAGUGCCAGAGAGGUUUAAAAUCAGUUUUACAUGAGGCACUGCAGGGUUUGCAUGGAUUGCACAGGAGCUCC
Molecule: long non-coding RNA, 919 nt
Organism: Passer domesticus (house sparrow)
Lineage: Eukaryota; Metazoa; Chordata; Aves; Passeriformes; Passeridae
Exons: 3
Source: RefSeq, a predicted model, not a curated record